UCUCCGUUGGUGAACCAGCGGAGGGAUCAUUACAGAGUUUUCACAACUCCCAACCCUUGUGAACCGAACCCAUUCUGUUCUCGUUGCUUCCGGCGGGCGCGACCGGGGGCCCGAAACCGCAACCCGGCCCCGCCCGCGGGGGGAGACGGGCGCUACGAACCUUUUCCUCUCAACCACCAGAGAAAGGCUGAGAAAACAAACAAACAAAUCAAAACUUUCAACACGGGGCCUCUAGGCUCUCACAACGAUGAAAAACGCAGCAGAUGGAACAAGCACACG
RNAcentral lists this unclassified non-coding RNA (279 nucleotides) under plant metagenome. Its description in RNAcentral is "partial contains small subunit ribosomal RNA, internal transcribed spacer 1, and 5.8S ribosomal RNA". The record is from RNAcentral.